GAACCCUGGAGGAAGCAGGUUAUCUAGACCAGGGUUUCUCAACCAGGGUUCCAUGGAACCCUAGGGUUCCGUGAGAGGUCACUAAGAGUUCCCUGGGAGAUCACAAUUUAUUCAAAAAAUUAUUUCGAAUUCAGGCAACUUCACCUUAAAGAGUAGGUGGAAGCACCUGGCCAACCAUGGCUGAUCUAAAGCAGAUUGGAUCUAGUUUGUACUUGGAAGGGAAAUUACCAGAAAAUGAGAAAAAAACAUCCUGGAAGAAGGCAGUGGCAAACCGCUACCAUAUCAUGCCAUGAAAACAGUACAGAUGUGUCUACGCAGAAGUUGCUGGACAUGAAGUUGGAAAUGAAUGGGACUUUCCAUCAUCCCUCACUUCAACCUCAGAUUUCAGCUGGAACUUGCAGGAAGUUGGAUUUUGCAGGUAACAAAAUUGGCACAGAGGUAACGAGAAUAGUGGUCUCCAAUGUGUACAGGGGUGUGUAAAAUGAUUCACUUGGGUGCAGGAAGAAAAUAUCAGAACAUCUAUUGAUAUUUAUCUUAUCCUUUACCACCUCCUUUUUAUUUUUGAUUUUGGAGUAUGUUUUAUAAUAUACAGUUAUACAUGCAUAUACUAUAUACUGUAUAUACAUAUACAUAUAUACAUACAGUAUAUAUAUAUGGGGUGCACACUCAUAUACUUGUGGAUAAGCCCAUCCACGGAUAAGCCGAACCCAAUUUUGGGGGUGUAUUUUGGCAAUUCUUGGCAAGACGCUAAGCAUAAGACAUAUAAGAAAUUGAUAACAGCAAUAGUUGCUCAAAGUAAAACAAAAGUUGGUGGCUUGCCAAGAAGCUCUGGACUGGAUCCAAGAUCAGGCAUAUUUGGACCAUAAACUGUAGUAGAUCUCAUGGUAACAUGCUUUCAGGAGCUAUUUCAGUCAGAUCAUACUGUUUGGAUUCAUGAAAUUUACUUCAAGGUGUAAGUCUUCACAAUCUCUCAACCCUUGUGAAUUUCUUCACAAGUUUGAAUGUGAUAAAAUAUUAGAAACAGUGAGGAAUGCAAAAGUUCUGGAAUAUAAGGGGAGGGGGGAAUCUCAUGCUGUAUCCAGAGUUGCUCUCAGAUAUUAUAAAGAAACAUAAAGAGUUCCAAGCAGCAUGUCCCAAGGCCAGAAAUCAGGGAGCAAAAGUCGUAUUAUUAUUAUUAUCAUGCAAACUUUGGCUCAUUCCUGGAUACUGGCUACAUUUAGAAAGUAUAGUCCAUCCAUUUUGUCUUGUAUAUUCCUUUUUUCAUUUUGCAGUUUAGAAUCAUAAUACAAAGAUGGAAGAUAAUGUAGAGUUCAUCUAGUCGAAACACCUGCUCAGUGCAGGAGCAUCUCUAACCGAUGGGCAUCCAGCCCCGGUGUGAAGACCUCUUUGCACAGAACUUACCACUUCAUGUGAUAAUUUGUUCCUCUAGCCUGAACCUCUUUCCUUGUAUUUUUAACAUGUUGGCUUGUUAACUUAGUUAGCUAGUUAAAAGGACAUUGGUUAUUCUCCACUAUGGUCUCAGCUGGAGAGUUACUACUUGUUAAGUUCUUGGAUUUAAUCACAGUGAGAAUGUGGGUGUUUUUUUCCACCACUGAAGUUGGUUAGACACUUUUGGAUCUUAUUGGGGGAAAAAUUAAAAUCUGACAUGAAUUCUCAAUACUGUGGAAUAAUCCCUGUUUUAAAAUGGCCUGAAAAAUUUGCUGCUGUUGUUUUUAGAAUUUUAGCAAAACCAGAUUAACACUUUCAAGCAGAUAAUAACUAAUUACAUCUUUAAAACCUCUGAAGCAUUACAAAAAGGAUGUAACUUAACUACAAUAACCAAAUGGUAACAGAGAGAGCUGGAAAACUGGUUUCACAGUUGGAAGCUUCUGAAUUUUUGGAAGCAUUGGUUGUACUGGAAAAGGCUUUUAUAGAGACCAUAGGUAAAGGUAAAGGUUUCCCUUGACGUAAAGUCCAGUCGUGUCCGACUCUAGGGGGCGGUGCUCAUCUCCGUUUCUAAGCCUUAGAGCCGGCGUUGUCCGUAGACACUUCCGGGUCAUGUGGCCAGCAUGACGACUUGGAACGCCGUUACCUUCCCGCCGAAGCGGUACCUAUUGAUCUACUCACAUUUGCAUGUUUUCGAACUGCUAGGUGAGCAGGAGCUGGGACUAGCAACGGGAGCUCACCCCGCCACGCGGUUUUGAACCGCCGACCUUCCGAUCGACAGCUCAGCGGUUUAACCCGCAGCGCCACUGCGUCCCUCAUAGAGACCAUACUAACCAAUUUUUAUCAUUUCUUUUAAAUUACAAAAUAAAUUUGGUUCAUAUACAAGUUAUAUGGGAUACAGAACUGGAAUACCUUAUACUGCAAAAUCAAUGGCUUCGGGUAUUAAGAAAUCUUACACGUAAUGUGCCAUAAAUAGGCUCUGGGGCACAAGCUAUGCAUCUGUAGAUUAGAGACUGAGUCCUCCAGCAAUAGGUACUAGGACGUCCCUCAGAAAAAACAGAAAAGUUAAAAAAAUAGUGCUUGGAGAUGUAAUGGGGCAAUGGGCAAGUGGAAUUAUUUAGUUUCAUGUAGUAAAAGCAUUGUAUUAAAUACAAAGCAAGAUUGUUUGCUAUGCUGUAUUUCAUCAUUUCCACCAUUAGAAAAGAAGGAGUGCU
Molecule: long non-coding RNA, 2639 nt
Organism: Candoia aspera
Lineage: Eukaryota; Metazoa; Chordata; Lepidosauria; Squamata; Candoiidae
Exons: 3
Source: RefSeq, a predicted model, not a curated record